Molecule: ribosomal RNA, 504 nt
Filed under: uncultured bacterium
Lineage: Bacteria
Description: partial 16S ribosomal RNA
Rfam family: Bacterial small subunit ribosomal RNA
Source: RNAcentral
GAUGAACGCUAGCGGCAGGCCUAAUACAUGCAAGUCGAACGGGAUCUGAGGGUAGCUUGCUACCCGAUUUGGGAGUGGCGCACGGGUGCGUAACGCGUGAGCAACCUACCCAUAUCAGGGGGAUAGCCCGGAGAAAUUCGGAUUAAUACCGCAUCAGAAUGUAUUAACACAUGUUAAAGCAUUUAAAUAUUCAUCGGAUAUGGAUGGGCUCGCGUGAAAUUAGCUAGUUGGUGAGGUAACGGCUCACCAAGGCGACGAUGUCUAGGGGCUCUGAGAGGAGAAUCCCCCACACUGGUACUGAGACACGGACCAGACUCCUACGGGAGGCAGCAGUAAGGAAUAUUGGUCAAUGGGCGAAAGCCUGAACCAGCCAUGCCGCGUGCAGGAUGACUGCCCUAUGGGUUGUAAACUGCUUUUGUCGAGGAAUAAACCUAUCUACGUGUAGCUAGUUGAACGUACUCGAAGAAUAAGGAUCGGCUAACUCCGUGCCAGCAGCCGCGGUAA